AUACGUAGGUGGCGAGCGUUGUCCGGAAUUACUGGGCGUAAAGGAUGCGUAGGCGGAUAUGUAGGUCAGAUGUGAAAUACCCGGGCUCAACUUGGGUGCUGCAUUUGAAACUGCAUGUCUAGAGUGCGGGAGAGGAAAGUGGAAUUCCUAGUGUAGCGGUGAAAUGCGUAGAGAUUAGGAAGAACACCAGUGGCGAAGGCGACUUUCUGGACCGUAACUGACGCUGAGGCAUGAAAGCGUGGGUAGC
Molecule: ribosomal RNA, 247 nt
Filed under: uncultured bacterium
Lineage: Bacteria
Description: partial 16S ribosomal RNA
Rfam family: Bacterial small subunit ribosomal RNA
Source: RNAcentral